Molecule: non-coding RNA, 79 nt
Organism: Gossypium arboreum
Lineage: Eukaryota; Viridiplantae; Streptophyta; Magnoliopsida; Malvales; Malvaceae
Source: Rfam
AAUCCAUGGUGAGGGCACCUUCUCAAUAGAUCCUUGUAUCUCUCCCAUGCAUCAUAAAGUGUUUCUAAAUCCAUUUGCA